This 525-nucleotide ribosomal RNA is filed under the name uncultured bacterium. RNAcentral's name for it is "bacterial SSU rRNA". It matches the Rfam family "Bacterial small subunit ribosomal RNA", at positions 355 to 896 of the family's 1533-position model. The record is from RNAcentral.
UGGGGAAUUUUGCGCAAUGGGGGAAACCCUGACGCAGCAACGCCGCGUGGAGGAUGAAAUCCCUUGGGAUGUAAACUCCUUUCGAUAGGGAAGAUAAUGACGGUACCUAUAGAAGAAGCCCCGGCUAACUUCGUGCCAGCAGCCGCGGUAAUACGAGGGGGGCAAGCGUUGUUCGGAAUUAUUGGGCGUAAAGGGUGCGUAGGCGGUUUGACAAGUCUUAUGUGAAAUCUUCGGGCUCAACCCGAAGCCUGCAUGGGAAACUGUCGGGCUUGAGUAUGGGAGAGGUGAGUGGAAUUUCCGGUGUAGCGGUGAAAUGCGUAGAUAUCGGAAGGAACACCUGUGGCGAAAGCGGCUCACUGGACCAUAACUGACGCUGAUGCACGAAAGCUAGGGGAGCAAACAGGAUUAGAUACCCUGGUAGUCCUAGCCCUAAACGAUGAUUGCUUGAUGUGGCAGGUACCCAAUCCUGCCGUGUCGAAGCUAACGCGAUAAGCAAUCCGCCUGGGGAGUACGGUCGCAAGGCUG